Molecule: RNA transcript, 1040 nt
Organism: Zingiber officinale
Lineage: Eukaryota; Viridiplantae; Streptophyta; Magnoliopsida; Zingiberales; Zingiberaceae
Gene name: calcineurin B-like protein 1
Exons: 3
Source: RefSeq, a predicted model, not a curated record
GCUCGUAUUAUUGUAAUUACAUCUACUUCGUUCCAUCGCCCUCUUUGCUCUUGCGGAGAACGAACAGGAGAUUCUUCUCCAAAUUCGUCUCUUCUGCCUCGAAUCCCUUCUCCUGUUUCUCCAAAUCAACGGGUCCAUGGAACCAGUUGGGGUGGUUUCUUCACACCAUAGGGGUUUUGAUCGCUUCCGUUGUGGAAUGGUGCGAUAAAUCAACUUUGAGCCGUGGUUUCAGAUUAGGGUUGUCUGACCGGAGAGUGGGAGAUAUGUAUAGUGGUGGGAACGGAUCGAAGAUGGAGGUUGGAUUCUUAGAUCGGAAGCGGAUCAACGAUGCGCUUGAUAAGCACCUAGAGAAAUCCUCGCCGUCGACCUCCAGGGGCUUGAUCGUCAAGGAUAAGGACAAGCUCACGCUGCCGUCUUCCGCCUCGGAGAAGCAGCCGGAGCACAGUUCCUUGUCGAAAAAUAAAGGUUCCGAUGGUGAAGCAGAUGCUUAUUGCUCUGCUAUCUGAAUCUGAGAUGAGAUUAGCUGAUGAGGUUGCGGAGUCGAUCCUAGAUAAGAUUUGCAGUCACAUCUGUUUUCAUAACUAUGAGAAACUAGCAAAUGCUUCAAUGAUUCCUAAUUUUUCUUGAACAGACAUUCCAAGAAGCAGAUGCAAAUCAGGAUGGAAAAAUAGAUAAAAUCCAAUGGGGACAUAACUACAACUUUUCCAAGUUUUGUAUUCUAUUCUGAGGUCGAGGACAUUGCUACAUGAUGAGUGUUGCCUUAACACAAACAAGGAGAUUUCAAAACAGUAAGGCAGCUGCUGUUCCAUGAAGUAAAAAAAACAAACUACAUAUGAACUGAUUGCCAUUCUGUCAAAGUUUCUAGCCACAGCUUUAUAAUGCAUUUGCGUAUUGCGUUGAAUGACUGCUAGUGAUUUUAAUGCACUUACGAGUUUCUGAGGAUGAUAUCUAAACGCGUAUACAUAUGAUAUCUCUCAGUAACUUUAUCUCUGCCAAAUUUGAUGUGGAAGUUAUACAAGUUUUUACUUCUUUUUGGUGCC